Molecule: ribosomal RNA, 801 nt
Filed under: Arthrobacter sp. ECX1
Lineage: Bacteria; Bacillati; Actinomycetota; Actinomycetes; Micrococcales; Micrococcaceae
Description: bacterial SSU rRNA
Rfam family: Bacterial small subunit ribosomal RNA
Source: RNAcentral
GAUUAGUGGCGAACGGGUGAGUAACACGUGAGUAACCUGCCCUUGACUCUGGGAUAAGCCUGGGAAACUGGGUCUAAUACCGGAUACGACCAUUCCACGCAUGUGGUGGUGGUGGAAAGCUUUUGUGGUUUUGGAUGGACUCGCGGCCUAUCAGCUUGUUGGUGGGGUAAUGGCCUACCAAGGCGACGACGGGUAGCCGGCCUGAGAGGGUGACCGGCCACACUGGGACUGAGACACGGCCCAGACUCCUACGGGAGGCAGCAGUGGGGAAUAUUGCACAAUGGGCGCAAGCCUGAUGCAGCGACGCCGCGUGAGGGAUGACGGCCUUCGGGUUGUAAACCUCUUUCAGUAGGGAAGAAGCGAAAGUGACGGUACCUGCAGAAGAAGCGCCGGCUAACUACGUGCCAGCAGCCGCGGUAAUACGUAGGGCGCAAGCGUUAUCCGGAAUUAUUGGGCGUAAAGAGCUCGUAGGCGGUUUGUCGCGUCUGCUGUGAAAGACCGGGGCUCAACUCCGGUUCUGCAGUGGGUACGGGCAGACUAGAGUGCAGUAGGGGAGACUGGAAUUCCUGGUGUAGCGGUGAAAUGCGCAGAUAUCAGGAGGAACACCGAUGGCGAAGGCAGGUCUCUGGGCUGUAACUGACGCUGAGGAGCGAAAGCAUGGGGAGCGAACAGGAUUAGAUACCCUGGUAGUCCAUGCCGUAAACGUUGGGCACUAGGUGUGGGGGACAUUCCACGUUUUCCGCGCCGUAGCUAACGCAUUAAGUGCCCCGCCUGGGGAGUACGGCCGCAAGGCUAAAACUC